This is a long non-coding RNA of Gadus morhua (Atlantic cod), 186 nucleotides long. RefSeq lists it as uncharacterized. The transcript is spliced from 3 exons. Lineage: Eukaryota; Metazoa; Chordata; Actinopteri; Gadiformes; Gadidae. The record is from RefSeq and is a predicted model, not a curated record.
CUGACAGUCUGCUGGAUGCUGUUGCCAGAAGAGGUUGUCUGUGUUGAGCAGGGUGCUCAGCUCUCCACGAGAUGCUAAAUAUCUACUGAGGUUAGAGACUUUUUGAGGUAAAGAGGAGCAUCUCAUCUGAACCUGAUGUCUAUCAUGGAUAUUUAACUGCAGUUCUGUGAGUAUCCCAACUUAACC